UACGUAGGGGGCAAGCGUUAACCGGAUUUAUUGGGCGUAAAGAGCUUGUAGGUGGUUCGGUAAGUCGGAUGUGAAAUCUCCAGGCUCAACCUUGAGGGGUCAUUCGAUACUGCCGUGACUAGAGUUCGGUAGGGGAGUGUGGAAUUCCUGGUGGAGCGGUGAAAUGCGCAGAUAUCAGGAGGAACACCGGUAGCGAAGGCGGCCCUCUGGGCCGAUACUGACACUGAGGAGCGAAAGCGUGGGGAGCGAACAGG
RNAcentral lists this ribosomal RNA (254 nucleotides) under uncultured bacterium. RNAcentral describes it as "partial 16S ribosomal RNA". It matches the Rfam family "Bacterial small subunit ribosomal RNA", at positions 524 to 776 of the family's 1533-position model. The record is from RNAcentral.